This 2023-nucleotide ribosomal RNA is filed under the name Planctomycetota bacterium. Its description in RNAcentral is "Planctomycetes bacterium (mine drainage metagenome) partial 23S ribosomal RNA". It matches the Rfam family "Bacterial large subunit ribosomal RNA", at positions 1618 to 2925 of the family's 2925-position model. The record is from RNAcentral. Lineage: Bacteria; Pseudomonadati; Planctomycetota.
CUUCUAAGCGUUAAAGCAAGAUUGACCGUACUAAAACUGACACAGGUAGGUAAGAAGAGUAUUCUAAGGCGCUCGGGAGAACGGUGGUUAAGGAACUCUGCAAAAUGGCUCCGUAAGUUCGCGAUAAGGGGCGCCUGAGCAAUCAGGCCACAGAAAAUCGGUACCAGCGACUGUUUAUCAAAAACACAGGACUCUGCGAACUCGUAAGAGGAGGUAUAGAGUCUGACGCCUGCCCGGUGCUGGUAGGUUAAGGAAGAGGGUUAGCAGCAAUGCGAAGCUCGCAACCGAAGCCCCAGUAAACGGCGGCACUAACUAUGAGUGUCCUAAGGUAGCUUUCAUAAAAGUCUGCCUGCCUACGCGGAUGACGCGUAGGGCAAUACUCAGCUGUAUGCGGGAACCUCCUAAAGCUACUGGCUACGUUUCUCGAACUGCGGUUCGAGCGUUACAAUGCCGUAGAUUGGACAAUCCGCAGGAAACUUUGUCUUCGCCUUGGCAGUAAUGCUGGGGUGUUGGAUAGAGGAUCCUCAGAGGCCAAACGCUGAGUGCCCUAGUUGAAUUGAGUUGUGAUGGAUUUGUCGCCAGAUUGGGUGGUUGGUUUUGUUGACGGGGAAGGUUGCUUCCACGUCAGCGUCAAUCGACACCCAGAGAUGAAGCUUGGUUUUCAGGUAUUACCUGAGUUCGUGGUCGUGCAGCACAGCAACGAUCGAUCUUUGCUCUUCGCUCUCAAGCGAUUUUUCGGAGCAGGAACGGUUCGAAGCAAUCACGGCGAUCGCGAUUGUCUCAGGAUCCGAAAACUCGACUCUCUGCAAAAUGUUUGUGAUUUCUUCAUGAGGCAUCCGCUCAAGUCCCGUAAGAACGUGGACUUUCGGAAGUUUCGGCAGAUCGUGUUGAUGAUGCUCGAUAAGAAGCAUCUGAACGUCGAAGGAAUGAUUGAAAUCAUUGAUGUUGCUCUGGAGAUGAACUCCUUGGAUCGUCCUCGUUUGCUUGAGGUUCGGUCGGCUCUGCUCAACGGGUAAAGAUAUGGUCCACGCUUAGUGGAAACACUGAGAGACGCGUGAGCGAAGUUCCUUGUCGGGUAAGUUCCGACCUGCAUGAAAGGCGUAACGACUGGUACACUGUCUCAACCACCGACCCGGUGAAAUUGUAGUUGUGGUGAAGAUGCCACAUACCCGCGGCUAGACGGAAAGACCCCAUGAACCUUUACUGUAGGCUGAUAUUGGGUUGAGGUAUGUUCUGUGCAGAAUAGCUGGGAGGCUUUGAACCGGGGACGCCAGUCUCUGGGGAGCCAUCGUUGAGAUACCAGCCUGGAUAUGCUUUAAUUCUAACUUUGUCCCGUGAAUCCGGGCUUAGAACAGUGUCAGUUGGGCAGUUUGACUGGGGCGGUCUCCUCCUAAAGAGUAACGGAGGAGCGCAAUGGUACACUCAGCCUGGUCGGCAAUCAGGCAAAGAGCGUAAAGGUAGAAGUGUGCUUGACUGCGAGACAAAUAAGUCGAGCAGGUACGAAAGUAGGCCUUAGUGAUCCGGUGAUUCCGAAUGGAAGGGUCAUCGCUCAUCAGAUAAAAGGUACUCUGGGGAUAACAGGCUUAUCGCCACCGAGCGUCCACAGCGGCGUGGCGGUUUGGCACCUCGAUGUCGGCUCAUCGCAUCCUGGGGGUGAAGAAGCUCCCAAGGGUUUGGCUGUUCGCCAAUGAAAGCGGUACGUGAGCUGGGUUCAGACCGUCGUGAGACAGGUCGGUCCCUAUCUACCGUGGGCGUACGAAACUUGAGAAGGGUCAACCUUAGUACGAGAGGAUUUGGUUGGACAUAGCUCUGGUGUCCCAGUUGUCACGCUAGUGGCACGGCUGGAUAGCUAACUAUGGAAAGGAUAAACGCUGAAAGCAUCUAAGCGUGAAGCCCUCUUCAAGACUAGGUUUCGUAGCAGUAAUGCGAAAGUCCCCUGGUAGACCACCAGGUUGAUAGGCUGGAUGUGUAAGCACGGUAACGUGUUAAGCUUACCAGUACUAACGGACGAACGCUUGACCAU